This 55-nucleotide transfer RNA is filed under the name Ichthyoxenos japonensis. RNAcentral's name for it is "tRNA-Gln". Lineage: Eukaryota; Metazoa; Arthropoda; Malacostraca; Isopoda; Cymothoidae. The record is from RNAcentral.
UAUCUUAAGGUGUAUUUGCAUAUGAAAUUUUGAUUUUUAAGGUUUGUUGAGAUUA